UCGGGAAUUUUGGGCAAUGGGCGAAAGCCUGACCCAGCAACGCCGCGUGAAGGAUGAAGUAUUUCGGUAUGUAAACUUCGAAAGAAUAGGAAGAAUAAAUGACGGUACUAUUUAUAAGGUCCGGCUAACUACGUGCCAGCAGCCGCGGUAAUACGUAGGGACCAAGCGUUGUUCGGAUUUACUGGGCGUAAAGGGCGCGUAGGCGGCAAUUCAAGUCAUCUGUGAAAUCUCCGGGCUUAACUCGGAACGGUCAGAUGAUACUGCUUUGCUAGAGUGCAGAAGGGGCAAUCGGAAUUCUUGGUGUAGCGGUGAAAUGCGUAGAUAUCAAGAGGAACACCUGAGGUGAAGACGGGUUGCUGGGCUGACACUGACGCUGAGGCGCGAAAGCCAGGGGAGCAAACGGGGAUUAGAUACCCAUGUAGUCCCUGAGCGGGCUGGCAAGGCGCAU
RNAcentral lists this ribosomal RNA (448 nucleotides) under uncultured bacterium. RNAcentral's name for it is "bacterial SSU rRNA". It matches the Rfam family "Bacterial small subunit ribosomal RNA", at positions 355 to 825 of the family's 1533-position model. The record is from RNAcentral.